Paramuricea clavata is the source of this 263-nucleotide non-coding RNA. Lineage: Eukaryota; Metazoa; Cnidaria; Anthozoa; Malacalcyonacea; Plexauridae. The record is from the annotation of a GenBank genome assembly.
UUAGCCUGUGGCCUAUAGACGGUUCGUAUUUCAAGGAUAAAAGGAACCGCGCAGCAGGACAUCGCGGCAUUGGGCUAUUGAGUACAUUUAAUACCCGCAACCCCCUACCCCCACCCCGCCUGUCAAGGACCUUGAUUUCCAAGGGGGCUAAUCAGUCAAUUUUUCCAGACGGGUAAUGGGAAAAAAAUGCUGUUUCCAGAUUGACCUUACGUCAUAUUUCGUUUGAAGAGAAUUGCAUAUUAUUUUUGUUCUCUCAUGCAGGA